UACGUAGGGUGCAAGCGUUGUCCGGAAUUAUUGGGCGUAAAGAGCUCGUAGGCGGUUUGUUGCGUCGGCUGUGAAAUCCCGAGGCUCAACCUUCAGAGGUCGACCGAAACCAUCUGGCUAGAGUCCGGGAGAGGGUAGUGGAAUUCCCGGUGUAGUGGUGAAAUGCGUAGAUAUCGGGAGGAACACCAGUGGCGAAGGCGACUACCUGGCCUGUUCUUGACGCUGAGGCGCGAAAGCUAGGGUAGCAAACGGG
Molecule: ribosomal RNA, 253 nt
Filed under: uncultured bacterium
Lineage: Bacteria
Description: partial 16S ribosomal RNA
Rfam family: Bacterial small subunit ribosomal RNA
Source: RNAcentral